CUGUGUGAAACAACUUUUAUUGUGAUGUUACUUGUUAUUGUUUAAAUGUACAGAAACAAAGGGUUAAAAUGUGUUAAUAUACCUUGUUCCAUGGUGUUGUUCUUUUGGGGGGAGGGGGUUGCUAUUCAACAAUUAAUGGAAUCACAUUGCUGUUGGACCAGUAGUAUUUAUUGCUUUAGAGAUUGCUCGUCGAACCUGUACGUUGUCCCUUUUAAAAUAUGUUUUCCUUUUUCUUGAAACUGUAUAAAGUUUUUUUCCCCUUAGCAUAAGCAUCUUAUAUAUAACAACUCAUUUGUACAAGGUUUUUAAGUUUAUAUAUAAAAUGUGUAUAUAUAUAUUUUUUGUUUCCCUUUUGGACUCCCCUGUGAACUCACAGGCGAGCACCCUGCACCCUGAGGACAUGGACUGACCGUGUGCAAAACUUUUUAUGUGCCAAA
RNAcentral lists this long non-coding RNA (437 nucleotides) under Bos taurus (domestic cattle). RNAcentral's name for it is "long non-coding RNA NONBTAT016231". Lineage: Eukaryota; Metazoa; Chordata; Mammalia; Artiodactyla; Bovidae. The record is from RNAcentral.